RNAcentral lists this ribosomal RNA (497 nucleotides) under uncultured bacterium. RNAcentral's name for it is "partial 16S ribosomal RNA". It matches the Rfam family "Bacterial small subunit ribosomal RNA", at positions 28 to 507 of the family's 1533-position model. The record is from RNAcentral.
GAUGAACGCUGGCGGCGUGCCUAAUACAUGCAAGUCGAGCGAACAGACGAGGAGCUUGCUCCUCUGACGUUAGCGGCGGACGGGUGAGUAACACGUGGAUAACCUACCUAUAAGACUGGGAUAACUUCGGGAAACCGGAGCUAAUACCGGAUAAUAUAUUGAACCGCAUGGUUCAAUAGUGAAAUACGGUUUUGCUGUCACUUAUAGAUGGAUCCGCGCCGCAUUAGCUAGUUGGUACGGUAAAGGCUUACCAAGGCUAGGAUGCGUAGCCGACCUAAGAGGGUGGUCGGCCACCUUGGAACUGAGACACGGCCCAGACUCCUACGGGAGGCCGCAGUCGGGAAUCUUCCGCAAUGGGCGAGAGCCUGACGGAGCAACGCCGCGUGAGUGAUGACGGUCUUCGGAUCGUAAAACUCUGUUAUUAGGGAAGAACAAAUGUGUAAGUAACUAUGCACGUCUUGACGGUACCUAAUCAGAAAGCCACGGCUAACUACGUG